AACGCACGAGACCUGCGGACCUGCGGAAGGAUCAUUACUGAGGAGGGUCCAUGGCCCGAUCUCCAACCCUUUGAUAAAAACACCAUGUUGCUUUGGCAGGCCCGCCCGUUGGGGCCGCGGGGGAUCGCCGGUCCCUAGCCCGUGCCUGCCGGUAGCCUUCACAAAACUCUCAAAAUGUUGUCGUCUGAGAUGAUUAGAAUAAUAAAACUUUCAACAACGGAUCUCUAGAUCGGAAGAGCA
This 240-nucleotide unclassified non-coding RNA is filed under the name soil metagenome. RNAcentral describes it as "partial contains 5.8S ribosomal RNA, internal transcribed spacer 2, and large subunit ribosomal RNA". The record is from RNAcentral.